UGGGGAAUAUUGCACAAUGGGCGAAAGCCUGAUGCAGCCAUGCCGCGUGUGUGAAGAAGGCUCUAGGGUUGUAAAGCACUUUCAGAAGGGAGGAAAGGUUGUAAGUUAAUACCUUGCAGCUGUGACGUUACCUUCAGAAGAAGCACCGGCUAACUCCGUGCCAGCAGCCGCGGUAAUACGGAGGGUGCAAGCGUUAAUCGGAAUUACUGGGCGUAAAGCGCGCGUAGGUGGUCUGUUAAGCGGAAUGUGAAAGCCCCGGGCUCAACCUGGGAACUGCAUUGCGAACUGGCAGACUAGAGUACAGUAGAGGGUAGUGGAAUUUCCUGUGUAGCGGUGAAAUGCGUAGAGAUGGGAAGGAACAUCAGUGGCGAAGGCGACUGCCUGGACUGAUACUGACACUGAGGUGCGAAAGCGUGGGGAGCAAACAGG
RNAcentral lists this ribosomal RNA (429 nucleotides) under uncultured bacterium. RNAcentral's name for it is "bacterial SSU rRNA". It matches the Rfam family "Bacterial small subunit ribosomal RNA", at positions 355 to 776 of the family's 1533-position model. The record is from RNAcentral.